AAAAUUUUAAAAGUUGAACAAACUUACUUCUUUAAUUUUUAUUUUAAAAAGUUAAUUUAAUUCAACAUCGAGGUAAUAAUCUAAAUUUUUAAUUUAAUCUAUUAAAUUUAAUUAUC
This 116-nucleotide ribosomal RNA is filed under the name Paracoccus marginatus. RNAcentral describes it as "partial 16S ribosomal RNA". Lineage: Eukaryota; Metazoa; Arthropoda; Insecta; Hemiptera; Pseudococcidae. The record is from RNAcentral.